This is a long non-coding RNA of Podarcis raffonei (Aeolian wall lizard), 1295 nucleotides long. RefSeq lists it as uncharacterized. The transcript has 2 exons. The record is from RefSeq and is a predicted model, not a curated record. Lineage: Eukaryota; Metazoa; Chordata; Lepidosauria; Squamata; Lacertidae.
CGCAUAAAUUCUGUCACGAAGUGGCCGUUGGUAAAAAGGUCAGUCGCGACCCCGUCCCGCCCCCUUAACCGCCGCUGGCUUUGCUACUCCGAGAAGGCCUGUUUGGGCAAAGAGAGAGUGAAGGAGCUGGUAGGCAGGGAGUUGGAGAGAAUUACAGGAGAGGGAAAGGGGCCAGGAAGGUGGGUAGGUGAGUCAGAGAGGGCGAAUAAAGGGUUGAGCAUACCUCAAAGCUGGUAAAGAGAGGGGAAGUAACCCCUGCUUUUCUGUGGUGGAUGUGCUCUUCCCCGAAACAGAAAUAAUGGGCAUCGAAUCCAGUGCUAGGGGUGGGACAGUACAGUAGUACCUCGAGUUACAUACACUUCAGGUUACAUACGCUUCAGGUUACAUACGCUUCAGGUUACAGACUCCGCUAACCCAGAAAUAUUACCUCGGGUAAAGAACUUUACUUCAGGAUGAGAACAGAAAUCAUGUUCCGGCAGCGGGAGGCCCCAUUAGCUGAAGUGGUGCUUCAGGUUAAGAACAGUUUCAGGUUAAGGACGGCCCUCCGGAAUGAAUUAAGUACUUAACGCGAGGUACCACUGUAUUGCCAUUCUAAAGUGGAACAGCCUGCUCCCCCCCCCUUUGGUAUAUAGAAAUAAGUCAUGGGCCCACACACCGAUGCUAAGACUGCAGCUUACACCAUCCCAGACCCAGAGCUGGUCCACCCAUGAGGCAAAGAGAGGCAACUGCUUCAGGCUGCAGAAUCCACAGGGGCAGCAGAUCCUGGCGUAGAACUUCAUUCCCUACUCUUGUUCCUGGUGUAGAUCUUCAUUCACCCCUUCUUCCCUAGCGGGAAGGGAAAACAACUGAGGUUCGCCUCAGGUGCCAAAAUGUUUUGGGCCACCCCUGUCUCCAUCACUGCUGUUGCCACCCGCAAGAGGACUCAACAACACAUGAGCUUGACUAUGUGAUUGGAAAAGCAUGCUGAAGAGUGUCACCAGCAGCUGGUGAGAAUGAGUGAGCCUGCCAGUCAACACAGUAUUAUGAAUCUGCUCUGACGUGAAGGCCAAGUUGAGAGUAUGCCCAGCCAGCUACAUGUGUAGGACCAUUGAUGUACUGAGGAAACCCCGUGGUUCACAUGGAGGCCAUGAAGUCCUGAGCUGGCCCAUUUGAUGCAGCCUUGGCAUGUGUGUGUAUGUGUAAUUGGGUUUUAUAAACAAGAAUAAUGUUAUACAGUACAAAUAAGUAUAUCAAGUUUUCUCAUGUCAUUUGUAUAUCACAAAAAUAGCAUAAUAAAUGUGGAAAAAUAUCUAAAA